GAGAUAGCUCAGUCGGUACAGCAUGACACUCUUAAUCUCAGGGUUAAGGGUUCAAGCCCCAUGUUAGGCG
Molecule: non-coding RNA, 70 nt
Organism: Podarcis lilfordi (Lilford's wall lizard)
Lineage: Eukaryota; Metazoa; Chordata; Lepidosauria; Squamata; Lacertidae
Source: the annotation of a GenBank genome assembly